This 278-nucleotide ribosomal RNA is filed under the name uncultured eukaryote. RNAcentral describes it as "partial 18S ribosomal RNA". It matches the Rfam family "Eukaryotic small subunit ribosomal RNA", at positions 21 to 289 of the family's 1831-position model. The record is from RNAcentral.
UAGUCAUAUGCUUGUCUCAAAGAUUAAGCCAUGCAUGUCUAAGUAUAAACAUCUUUAUACAGUGAAACUGCGUACAGCUCAUUAUAUCAGUUAUGAUUUAUUUGAUGGUACCUUACUACAUGGAUACCCGUAGUAAUUCUAGAGCUAAUACAUGCGUACAAUCCCGACUACUCGUUGGAAGGGAUGUAUUUAUUAGAUUCAAACCCAAUGCAGUAGCAAUACUGGUUCUCAUUGGUGACUCAUAGUAACUUGUCGAAUCGCAUGGCCUUGUGCUGGCG